UGGCGGACGGGUGAGUAAUGUCUGGGAAACUGCCCGAUGGAGGGGGAUAACUACUGGAAACGGUAGCUAAUACCGCAUAACGUCGCAAGACCAAAGAGGGGGACCUUCGGGCCUCUUGCCAUCGGAUGUGCCCAGAUGGGAUUAGCUAGUAGGUGGGGUAACGGCUCACCUAGGCGACGAUCCCUAGCUGGUCUGAGAGGAUGACCAGCCACACUGGGACUGAGACACGGCCCAG
Molecule: ribosomal RNA, 235 nt
Filed under: uncultured bacterium
Lineage: Bacteria
Description: partial 16S ribosomal RNA
Rfam family: Bacterial small subunit ribosomal RNA
Source: RNAcentral